Non-coding RNA from Triticum aestivum (bread wheat), 115 nucleotides. Lineage: Eukaryota; Viridiplantae; Streptophyta; Magnoliopsida; Poales; Poaceae. The record is from Rfam.
CUUGUACUCCCUCCGUUCCAAAUUACUCGUCGCAAAAAUGAAUGUAUCUAGAACUAAAAAACAUAUAGAUACAUCCAUUUCUACGACGAGUAAUUUGGAACGGAGGGAGUACUAC